RNAcentral lists this ribosomal RNA (467 nucleotides) under uncultured bacterium. RNAcentral describes it as "partial 16S ribosomal RNA". It matches the Rfam family "Bacterial small subunit ribosomal RNA", at positions 28 to 507 of the family's 1533-position model. The record is from RNAcentral.
GACGAACGCUGGCGGUGUGCUUAACACAUGCAAGUCGAACGGCAAGGCCCUGCUUUUGUGGGGUGCUCGAGUGGCGAACGGGUGCGUAACACGUGAGUAACCUGCUCUUGUCUUUGGGAUAACUUCAGGAAACUGGGGCUAAUAUCGGAUAGGAGCCCCUGUUGCAUUGUGGGCGUUGGAAAGUUUCGGCGUUUGGGGUUGGACUCGCGGCUUAGCAGCUUGUUGGUGGGGUAGUGGCUUACCAAGGAGUUGACGGGUAGCGGGCCUGGAAGGGUGACCGGCUCCAUAGGAAUAGGGAAGGGACCAGACUCCUACGGGAGGCAGCAGUGGGGAAUAUUGCACAGUGGGCGGAAGCGUGAUGCAGCAACGCCGCGUGCGGGAUGACGGCCUUCGGGUAGUAAACCGCUGUCGCCUGUGACGAAGCGUGAGUGACGGUAAUGGAUAAAGAAGCACCGGCUAACUACGUG